RNAcentral lists this ribosomal RNA (442 nucleotides) under Cyanobacteriota bacterium 5315_1PII. RNAcentral's name for it is "bacterial SSU rRNA". It matches the Rfam family "Bacterial small subunit ribosomal RNA", at positions 338 to 795 of the family's 1533-position model. The record is from RNAcentral. Lineage: Bacteria; Bacillati; Cyanobacteriota.
CCUACGGGUGGCAGCAGUGGGGAAUUUUCCGCAAUGGGCGAAAGCCUGACGGAGCAAUACCGCGUGAGGGAGGAAGGCUUUUGGGUCGUAAACCUCUUUUAUUGGGGAAGAAGUUCUGACGGUACCCAAUGAAUCAGCAUCGGCUAACUCCGUGCCAGCAGCCGCGGUAAUACGGAGGAUGCAAGCGUUAUCCGGAAUUAUUGGGCGUAAAGCGUCCGUAGGUGGCGGUUCAAGUCUGCCGUUAAAACCAGUAGCUUAACUCCAUACAGGCAGUGGAAACUGAAUAACUAGAGUACGGUAGGGGUAGCGGGAAUUCCCAGUGUAGCGGUGAAAUGCGUAGAUAUUGGGAAGAACACCAGCGGCGAAAGCGCGCUACUGGGCCUGUACUGACACUGAGGGACGAAAGCUAGGGGAGCGAAAGGGAUUAGAUACCCGGGUAGUC